This 949-nucleotide non-coding RNA is filed under the name Pterois volitans (red lionfish). Its description in RNAcentral is "12S ribosomal RNA". It matches the Rfam family "Bacterial small subunit ribosomal RNA". Lineage: Eukaryota; Metazoa; Chordata; Actinopteri; Perciformes; Scorpaenidae. The record is from RNAcentral.
AAAGGCUUGGUCCUGACUUUACUAACAACUUUAGCUAUACUUACACAUGCAAGUAUCAGCACCCCUGUGAGAAUGCCCCACAACUCCAUUCCCUGGAGCAAGGAGCUGGUAUCAGGCACACAUCCCAUGUAGCCCACGACACCUUGCUCAGCCACACCCUCAAGGGAACUCAGCAGUGAUAAACAUUAAGCCAUGAGUGAAAGCUUGACUUAGUUAAGGCUAAGAGGGCCGGUAAAACUCGUGCCAGCCACCGCGGCUAUACGAGAGGCCCAAGUUGUUAUAUUCCGGCGUAAAGAGUGGUUAUGGAAAAUUAAAAUUAAAGCCGCACACCUUCAAAGCUGUUAUACGCACCCGAAGUCUAGAAGCCCAAUUACAAAAGUAGCUUUAUCCUCCCAGACCCCACGAAAGCUCUGGCACAAACUGGGAUUAGAUACCCCACUAUGCCUAGCCCUAAACAUUGGUAUAACUCUACACAUUUUACCCGCCCGGGUACUACGAGCACCAGCUUAAAACCCAAAGGACUUGGCGGUGCUUUAGACCCCCCUAGAGGAGCCUGUUCUAGAACCGAUAAUCCCCGUUCAACCUCACCCUUUCUUGUUUAUUCCGCCUAUAUACCGCCGUCGUCAGCUUACCCUGUGAAGGUUUAAUAGUAAGCACAACUGGUUUAACCCAAAACGUCAGGUCGAGGUGUAGCGAAUGAAAGGGGAAGAAAUGGGCUACAUUCCCUAAAAAUAGGGAAAACGAAUGACAUACUGAAAUGCAUGUCUGAAGGAGGAUUUAGUAGUAAGUGGAAAAUAGAGCGUCUCACUGAAACUGGCCCUGAAGCGCGCACACACCGCCCGUCACUCUCCCCAAGCUCACCAACUCAAUUAACUUAAAAAGCCCACUAAUGCAAAGGGGAGGCAAGUCGUAACAUGGUAAGGGUACCGGAAGGUGCACUUGGAAAAAC